AAAGUAAAGGCUGGGGUGGAAGACUGCUACCACUGAGUUUCAGGGUGUCUCCAGAUGUUUAUGAAGAACCAGCGCAAAGGAGAUGAUCUAUUUGACAGGCAGAACGCAUGGAAAGAAAAAAACAUGGGGUUCAGGGGAGAAAAUCUACAGCAGAAGCCAGCAAGAAGUGCUCAAAGUGGAAUUUAAACAAGAGCUUUAUCAUGCGAGCGACAGAUCUCUUCUUCAAGGGUUUCAAUUUAGUACAUUUCUUGUUGAUGAGUGACACUAAUAAUUGAGGUCAUCGGUCACCUUGAAUCCCAAACAAAGUCUUUGGUGAGGAUGUGGUGGGGGAAGGCCUUGAGCACGUCCGGGAUCUCUGUGAGGUGAUUAAAACUUCAUGGUCAUAUUCACCUCCCCAGUUCCCAGUGGUAAAUUCUUAAAUUGCUGUCUUGAUUUUUAUUUUCAAAUGGUUCUGACCUUAAAGAAAAAGAUCAGUGCGAAGAAUUUGUAAAGAAAUAAAACUAAGUGCUUGUAAAACCA
Molecule: long non-coding RNA, 519 nt
Filed under: Anser brachyrhynchus (Pink-footed goose)
Lineage: Eukaryota; Metazoa; Chordata; Aves; Anseriformes; Anatidae
Description: lncRNA (ENSABRG00000013997.1)
Source: RNAcentral